GACGAACGCUGGCGGCGUGCUUAACACAUGCAAGUCGAGCGGUAAGGCUCCUUCGGGAGUCCACGAGCGGCGAACGGGUGAGUAACACGUGAGUAAUCCGCCCUUCACUUCGGGAUAACCACCGGAAACGGUGGCUAAUACCGAAUACGACCAGUCUUCGCAUGAGGUGCUGGUGGAAAGUCUUUUCGGUGAAGGAUGUGCUCGCGGCCUAUCAGCUUGUUGGUGGGGUAAUGGCCUACCAAGGCUUCGACGGGUAGCCGGCCUGAGAGGGUGACCGGCCACACUGGGACUGAGACACGGCCCAGACUCCUACGGGAGGCAGCAGUGGGGAAUAUUGGACAAUGGGCGAAAGCCUGAUCCAGCAACGCCGCGUGAGGGAUGACGGCCUUCGGGUUGUAAACCUCUUUCAGUACCGACGAAGCGCCCUGUCGGGUGGUGACGGUAGGUACAGAAGAAGGACCGGCCAACUACGUG
Molecule: ribosomal RNA, 474 nt
Filed under: uncultured bacterium
Lineage: Bacteria
Description: partial 16S ribosomal RNA
Rfam family: Bacterial small subunit ribosomal RNA
Source: RNAcentral